UACGGAGGGUGCGAGCGUUAAUCGGAAUAACUGGGCGUAAAGGGUACGCAGGCGGGCUUUUAAGUGAGAUGUGAAAUCCCCGGGCUUAACCUGGGAAUAGCAUUUCAGACUGGGUUUCUAGAGUACUGUAGGGAGGGGUGGAAUUCCACGUGUAGCGGUGAAAUGCGUAGAGAUGAGGAGGAAUACCGAAGGCGAAGGCAGCCCCUUGGGAAUGUACUGACGCUCAUGUGCGAAAGCGUGGGGAGCAAACAGG
RNAcentral lists this ribosomal RNA (253 nucleotides) under uncultured bacterium. Its description in RNAcentral is "partial 16S ribosomal RNA". It matches the Rfam family "Bacterial small subunit ribosomal RNA", at positions 524 to 776 of the family's 1533-position model. The record is from RNAcentral.